UCCAGAAUGCCGCUGCUCGCCUCUUGACUGGUACUCGUAAGAGGGAGCAUAUAACUCCUACUCUGGCAUCCCUUCACUGGCUCCCCAUUCAUUUUAGAGUUAUUUUCAAGAUCCUCCUUUUUGUUUUCAAAUCUCUGAAUAAUCUCGCACCACCUUACCUCUCUGAGCUCAUCCGCCCCUCCACACCUGCCCGGCGCCUCAGGUCUGUGGACCAGUCUUUGUUAGAAGUACCAUGAACUAAACUGAGGCUCAGAGGGGAUCGAGCCUUUUCUGUUGCUGGUCCCUCUCUCUGGAAUGACCUCCCACUGAACAUUCGGCAAGCCUCCUCGCUGCCCAUCUUCAAAGCCCUCCUCAAAACUCACUUGUAUUCUUUGGCAUUCGACUCAGCAUGACUUAGAUUUGUUCUUGAUUUUACUGUUUGGUGCUUUCUACCGCCUUUAUUACCGAUUUGUCUUACUGUUUAUUGUGCAUGUUAAAUUGCUCCAUGUACAGCACUUUGUAUGCAGCGAUGGCUGUUUGAAAGUGCUCUAUUAAUACUGUUGACUUGACUUUACUUGUUGACUUAUCUAUAGAGAGAGGUACACUCAGCUAAGAGGACUCAAGUUCUAGUUUUGCCAUUUCUUAUUACAAAGUACAAUGUGUCUUGCUGUACCAUCAUUACAUCACAGCUGUGAUGUAAUGCAACUCCCACCAGCCAUCAAUCACUUCUAAUUGUGAGCGGGGUGGGGGUUGAAGCAAAUGGUUUAUAGCACCCUAUUAUUAAUUUUUGAGGGUGGUAGGUAAAAGGAUUGCGUUGGUUGAAAAAAAAUACAGAGACGUUGCUGCAUAAUGAAGUAGAUUAAAUUCAAUGUUAAGAGGAAAAAAAUGAGGAGUUGGCCUUGUGGCAAAGACUUAGGGUGAGGAGAAAAAAACAGAGGAAUUGGAGGAUGGAGGGCAUUUGUGAAAAUGGUCAGAGGUGAGUGUGAUGUUAAAAUAGAGGAAUGGAACAGAGUGUCUUGGGAUCUGCCACUGAGGGAAUAAAGAAAUCAAUGACUGAGAGGUCCAGCGACAAUUGGGAGGUUACAGAGGAGAAAAAGGAAGCCAGACAACAUGGCUGCCUCGCAGUGGAAAUGUACCGAUGUUGGAUAAUUGGAUAAAAGAGACUGGUGUUUUGGACUAUAAAGGGCCGCAAAUGGUGUUUAUGUGGAGGACAGGAGCAACCACUGUAGGAAGAAGUGGAGCAAUAAGCUGUAAAGCCUCACCUGUCAAAAAUAAUGGGGGGUGGAGAAGCUGCAAGCCAGCAACAAUAGAAUGGAAAGAGAGAUAGAGGGCACAAAGCGAGGUUAAGAGUGAAGCUGAGCUGAGGAGGCAUCAUGGAAGAAAAAUGUCAGCCCGAGAGGAGAAAACAAUGACUAAAAAAGGAACCAGAAGAUACAGGGGGAAAAAAGAAAAUUUUUAACAGGAUAAGACAAUUUCAUUUCCAGUUUCGCAUUGAGCAGUGUGACGCCUGGAUGGAAUUCACCAUAAGUGCGUGGUGCCCUCACACUUGAAAUCCCAGGCUACCUGAGAAGGCGGAUUAUCAUGAUCAUCAUUAAUAAGCAAAAUGCCAGCAACCCUAAGCUUGUCUGUAUCUAAUAAAUCCUCCCUGAUCCACACUGGAGUGUAAUUAAUACAGAUGGUGGAGGGUGGGGUGGUGGUAGAAGGUUAGCUUCAGCUGGGCAUGAGUUAAUAAGGAGGGAGUGUCGAGCUAUGAAAACAGACUAACGAGUCUCAUCUCUCUCUCGCUUUUCAAGUAGAGACCAAAAUGUUAUCAAAACACUGAGCAAAUGAUUUAAUACCUAACAAUUUAUGGAUUACAAUACACCAACAUGGGCUGACCAGCGGUCAGUCUGACUUGAGCGGUCAAAACAGUCAAGAGGGCAAUUACAUAUCAUUUGUAUUGUACAGUUAAUUUCAUCAGCCUUCUUUUUAAGGUGUUAAGAAAAAGUAUUGAUGAUUUUUGGGGUGGCCAGCAGCCUUUGAUCUCACAGAAUAUAUCAAGCUGUGCAUUUACCAGCAAGUGAAUCCCAUCUCCACAUUCAGAACCAAAAAAAGAAAAA
Molecule: long non-coding RNA, 2078 nt
Organism: Hippocampus zosterae (dwarf seahorse)
Lineage: Eukaryota; Metazoa; Chordata; Actinopteri; Syngnathiformes; Syngnathidae
Exons: 2
Source: RefSeq, a predicted model, not a curated record